CGUGCAAUGCCUCAGCUGCCAACCAGUAUUGAGCCCAGUCCGUGAUAGGGCAAACAAGUUGCACGCGCUUCCGCAGGCACCACCGCAGUGUGGUCCAGCAGUGACUUGUGUAGUCCUCGUGGGAGGCUGGUUUUGA
RNAcentral lists this unclassified non-coding RNA (136 nucleotides) under synthetic construct. The record is from RNAcentral.